GACGAACGCUGGCGGCGUGCUUAACACAUGCAAGUCGAACGGAAAGGCCCUGCUUGCAGGGUGCUCGAGUGGCGAACGGGUGAGUAACACGUGGGUGCUCUGCCCCUUACUUUGGGAUAAGCCUGGGAAACUGGGUCUAAUACUGGAUAGGACAUUGCUGUAGGUGGUGUGGUGGAAAGAUUAGUUUCGGUAAGGGAUGAGCUCGCGGCCUAUCAGCUUGUUGGUGGGGUAAUGGCCUACGAAGGCGUCGACGGGUAGCCGGCCUGAGAGGGUGGACGGCCACAUUGGGACUGAGAUACGGCCCAGACGCCUACGGGAGGCAGCAGUGGGGAAUAUUGCACAAUGGGCGCAAGCCUGAUGCAGCGACGCCGCGAGGGGGAUGACGGCCUUCGGGUUGUAAACUCCUUUCAGCCAUGACGAAGCCCUUGUGGUGACGGUAGUGGUAGAAGAAGCACCGGCUAACUACGUG
RNAcentral lists this ribosomal RNA (469 nucleotides) under uncultured bacterium. RNAcentral's name for it is "partial 16S ribosomal RNA". It matches the Rfam family "Bacterial small subunit ribosomal RNA", at positions 28 to 507 of the family's 1533-position model. The record is from RNAcentral.